Phrynosoma platyrhinos (Desert horned lizard) is the source of this 72-nucleotide non-coding RNA. Lineage: Eukaryota; Metazoa; Chordata; Lepidosauria; Squamata; Phrynosomatidae. The record is from the annotation of a GenBank genome assembly.
GGGUGAGGAGCACAGUGGUUUGAGCCUUGGACUACAACUUUGGAGAUCAGGGUUCAAAUCCCUGCUCAGCCA